Molecule: transfer RNA, 63 nt
Filed under: Alboglossiphonia lata
Lineage: Eukaryota; Metazoa; Annelida; Clitellata; Rhynchobdellida; Glossiphoniidae
Description: tRNA-Cys
Source: RNAcentral
AAAGGUAUAGUUGAAAAACAACAUUAAAUUGCAGAUUUAAAAGUAUUCUAAUAAUUACCUUUU